AGAGUUUGAUCAUGGCUCAGAUUGAACGCUGGCGGCAUGCUUUACACAUGCAAGUCGAACGGUAACAUAAGAAAGCUUGCUUUCUUGAUGACGAGUGGCGAACGGGUGAGUAAUACAUCGGAACGUACCCUGUAGUGGGGGAUAACUACUCGAAAGAGUGGCUAAUACCGCAUACAACCUGAGGGUAAAAGUGGGGGACCGCAAGGCCUCACGCUAUAGGAGCGGCCGAUGGAAGAUUAGGUAGUUGGUGGGGUAAAGGCCUACCAAGCCGACGAUCUUUAGCGGGUCUGAGAGGACGAUCCGCCACACUGGGACUGAGACACGGCCCAGACUCCUACGGGAGGCAGCAGUGGGGAAUUUUGGACAAUGGGCGAAAGCCUGAUCCAGCAAUGCCGCGUGAGUGAAGAAGGCCUUCGGGUUGUAAAGCUCUUUUGUUUGGGAAGAAAUCCUUAAGGCUAAUAUCCUUGGGGGAUGACGGUACCAAAAGAAUAAGCACCGGCUAACUACGUG
This 510-nucleotide ribosomal RNA is filed under the name uncultured bacterium. RNAcentral describes it as "bacterial SSU rRNA". It matches the Rfam family "Bacterial small subunit ribosomal RNA", at positions 8 to 507 of the family's 1533-position model. The record is from RNAcentral.